RNAcentral lists this ribosomal RNA (475 nucleotides) under Centipeda artemidis. Its description in RNAcentral is "bacterial SSU rRNA". It matches the Rfam family "Bacterial small subunit ribosomal RNA", at positions 28 to 474 of the family's 1533-position model. Lineage: Bacteria; Bacillati; Bacillota; Negativicutes; Selenomonadales; Selenomonadaceae. The record is from RNAcentral.
GACGAACGCUGGCGGCGUGCUUAACACAUGCAAGUCGAACGGAGCGAAUGAAAGCUUGCUUUUAUGAGCUUAGUGGCAAACGGGUGAGUAACACGUAGACAACCUGCCGAUCAGAUGGGGACAACAUUCCGAAAGGAAUGCUAAUACCGAAUGAAGUGUGGGGGAGGCAUCUUCCCUACAUGAAAGAUGGCCUCUAUAUAUAAGCUAUCACUGAUCGAUGGGUCUGCGUCUGAUUAGCUAGUAGGUAAGGUAACGGCUUACCUAGGCGACGAUCAGUAGCCGGUCUGAGAGGAUGAACGGCCACAUUGGGACUGAGACACGGCCCAGACUCCUACGGGAGGCAGCAGUGGGGAAUCUUCCGCAAUGGGCGCAAGCCUGACGGAGCAACGCCGCGUGAGUGAAGAAGGUCUUCGGAUCGUAAAGCUCUGUUGAAGGGGACGAACGUACAUAAGUUGAAUAAGCUUAUGUAAUGACG